AGGGAAGAAAUUGUGAACCUCUUUUUGGGGUGAAAAACCCGCCGCAUCUAAAGAAAAAAAAGAGAGGUUGAAUCCGUCUGUAUAGCAAGGGAACUCGCAGCCGCCGACAGAAAGCAUAGAACCGCAGCAGCUGAUUUUGUGCGCGAAGAAGAGAAGCGAUCGGACGUGGGUCUAACGUGGGCAAGUGUCCGCGGCGUUUGCGUGGGUGACGGGCAGAAGAUCGGAUCGUUCUGGGCGAGUGUUCGGUGGUUCCAGCUCAGCGUGGGUGCACCGGUCAUUUCCAGUUCAGUGUGUGGGUUUGCUGCAGAUCUGGGUUUAGUGGUUCGUCGGUCAGAGGCGGGUAGCACACUGUUUUAGGUUGUUUUGCAGCGGGUUGUUCUCAGUUUUCAGAGGCGACGUUGUGUGCGAAUCUCUCGGGUUGGACUAGGGAAAGCCACAUUUGAAGUGUAAGCAUGAGAGAUUCUAGAGUAAUUUUUGUAGGCUACUAGAGCCUGAGAGCCAAACAUGGUGAGGCCUUGCGGAGUAAUAGCCCAAGCAAUCCAUUGAUUGAGAGACGUUGAAGGGCGUCUAAAAGCAGGUGGUUUUUUUUAUUGAAUUGAGGUCUAAUGAAGGUAAGAGUUAAGCAUUGGAUGAUUUACACAAGCUUCAAGCACUUCAUUGUUGGUAAAACCAUUAUAGCUUCUGCAACUUUGAGCUGAGGUUGAGAGAAAUAAAGAGAAGAGGAUCAAAAUAGAGAAGAAAGAAAGAGAGUUAAGGGCAGGUAGGGGUUUGGGACCAAGGAAAUCGUGGACUGAUAUCCUGGUCAAUAUAGCAUGCUUGACAUGUGACAGUCGGGAUGCUAGGUCGGCAAUAGGAAAUCGUGGACCUCGUCCAUGAUUUAGCUUUAAAUUGUGGACUGGAUACACGGUUUAUGUGCUGACAUGGUACUCGUGGACCCGGUCCAUGAUUUCACAAUUCUAUUUUUUAAAAUAUUUUCAAACCAACCCUAUUUUUGUCAAUAAAUAUUAAAAUAACAUUAUUUUUUUUAAAAAAAAAAAAUCAACAUUCUAAUAUUUUUCGUUAGUCAAUUUAACUAAAUCGAAGACUUAUAAUCAUUUUUUAAAAUGUAAUUGACUAAAAUAUUGGAUUUCAAAAACUCAAAGACUACAUCAAAAUUAAAACUCAAACUUUAGAAUAAAUCAUUCAAGUUGAUUAUAUAUAUAUAACUAGAAAUAGAUUCUUUAACCAGAAAGAAUUCAGUUCAAAUGUGGGAUACCUAUCCAGAAGUUUUCGCAACCCAAUCAUGUAUGAUGGAAUCAUCAAAGAUUUAAUCCAAAGCUAUGGAAUUUGGGGGUGGGUCUUUUGUCGAAAUGGAAUGGCCUUAUCUUUUAAUUUUUUCUUUUUUGUUAAUGUGUUAAGGGCGGGGGUUCCAUUAUAAAUUAAAUAUCGUUUAGAAUUUGAUACAAUGAGAUAUAAUGCAAUAGAAAUAAAGACAUAGGGAACUGGUUACCUACUCUUAACGGUCAAAGCGAACCCUUUAUUCUGGAUUAUUUAAUUCAGAAUGAAUCAAAUCUCCCCAAGUAGGAUUCAAACCUAUGACCAAUCGGUUAACAGCCGACCGCUCUACCACCGAGCUAUUGAGGAACAAUAGUAAAUUAGGUCUCAGAGAAUUCAAUUCUCGUGACAACAUGAAAAAACCAAAAAAAAAAAAAAAAAAAAACUUUGCCCUUCCUCUCUAUCUAGAUGUAGAAAUAGAAACCACUUUCAAAACAAAUGGGACUAAACAGGAACAAGAGGGAUCCACCGAAGAAGAUACUUCUCCUUCCCUUUUUUCGGAAGAAAAGGAGGAUCCGGACAAAAUCGAUGAAAUGGAAGAGAUCAAGUGAAUGGAAAGAAAAAAACAAAGGAUGAAUUCCACGACACUUCGCCUGUCACACUAUGGGAGCAGGCCAUGCAUGAAGUCGUUACCUUAAUCGCAAGGAGGGGGAUGCCAAAGGCAGGGCUAGUGACUGGAGUGAAGUCGUAACAAAGUAGCCGUACUAGAAGGUGCGGCUGGAUCCCCUCCUUUUCAGAGAGAGCUAAUGCUAUAUCGACACAUCUGCGAUCGCCAAAUGUUCGGUAGUUCCUUUAUUCAAUCCUUUUCCUUCUUCUCGUUGUUGUAUAUCUACAGUGAUGAAUAUAAGCGCAAUUGAAAUUCUUGGGGAGUUAUACAUUUAUGUAUUGAGAAGACCA
Non-coding RNA from Benincasa hispida (wax gourd), 2211 nucleotides. NCBI's taxonomy places the organism in Eukaryota, Viridiplantae, Streptophyta, Magnoliopsida, Cucurbitales, Cucurbitaceae. The record is from RefSeq and is a predicted model, not a curated record.